RNAcentral lists this ribosomal RNA (262 nucleotides) under uncultured archaeon. Its description in RNAcentral is "partial 16S ribosomal RNA". It matches the Rfam family "Archaeal small subunit ribosomal RNA", at positions 748 to 1009 of the family's 1478-position model. The record is from RNAcentral.
UAGGCGUAAAUGAUGCGAGUUAAGUGUGGGGGCAUCUACGAGAUGGCCCUGUGCUGUAGGGUAGCCGUUAAACUCGCUGCCUGGGGAGUACGGUCGCAAGGCUGAAACUUAAAGGAAUUGGCGGGGGGAGCACCACAAGAGGUGGAGGCUGCGGUUCAAUUGGACUCAACGCCGGGAAACUCAUCGGGAGCGACAGCAGUAUGAUUGCCAGGUUGAUGACCUUGCUUGACAAGCUGAGAGGAGGUGCAUGGCGUAGUCGUGU